GGCUCAGAUUGAACGCUAGCGGGAUGCCUUACACAUGCAAGUCGAACGGCAGCACGGACUUCGGUCUGGUGGCGAGUGGCGAACGGGUGAGUAAUGUAUCGGAACGUGCCUAGUAGCGGGGGAUAACUACGCGAAAGCGUAGCUAAUACCGCAUACGCCCUACGGGGGAAAGCAGGGGAUCGCAAGACCUUGCACUAUUAGAGCGGCCGAUAUCGGAUUAGCUAGUUGGUGGGGUAACGGCUCACCAAGGCGACGAUCCGUAGCUGGUUUGAGAGGACGACCAGCCACACUGGGACUGAGACACGGCCCAGACUCCUACGGGAGGCAGCAGUGGGGAAUUUUGGACAAUGGGGGAAACCCUGAUCCAGCCAUCCCGCGUGUGCGAUGAAGGCCUUCGGGUUGUAAAGCACUUUUGGCAGGAAAGAAACGUCAUGGGUUAAUACCCCGUGAAACUGACGGUACCUGCAGAAUAAGCACCGGCUAACUACGUGCCAGCAGCCGCGGUAAUACGUAGGGUGCAAGCGUUAAUCGGAAUUACUGGGCGUAAAGCGUGCGCAGGCGGUUCGGAAAGAAAGAUGUGAAAUCCCAGAGCUUAACUUUGGAACUGCAUUUUUAACUACCGAGCUAGAGUGUGUCAGAGGGAGGUGGAAAUUCCGCGUGUAGCAGUGAAAAUGCGUAGAUAUGCGGAGGAACCACCGAUGGCGAAGGCAGCCUCCUGGGAUAAC
RNAcentral lists this ribosomal RNA (725 nucleotides) under Achromobacter sp. 110602_136_C_E11. RNAcentral's name for it is "bacterial SSU rRNA". It matches the Rfam family "Bacterial small subunit ribosomal RNA", at positions 21 to 738 of the family's 1533-position model. Lineage: Bacteria; Pseudomonadati; Pseudomonadota; Betaproteobacteria; Burkholderiales; Alcaligenaceae. The record is from RNAcentral.